GAUAAACGCUGGCGGCGCACAUAAGACAUGCAAGUCGAACGGAAGUCGUUAUAAAUGAAUUGAAGAUUUAUCUGAUUGAAAUUUGUAACAAUGACUUUAGUGGCGGACUGGUGAGUAACGCGUAAGGAAUCUACCUAUUAGAGGGGAAUAACAAUGAGAAAUCAUUGCUAAUACCGCAUAUGCCAUAAUGAAGGCAUCUUCAUAGUGGGAAAGGAGCAAUUCGCUAAUAGAUGAUCUUGCGUCUGAUUAGUUAGUUGGUGGGGUAACGGCCUACCAAGACGACGAUCAGUAGCCGGACUGAGAGGUUGAACGGCCACAUUGGGACUGAGAUACGGCCCAGACUCCUACGGGAGGCAGCAGUCGGGAAUAUUGCGCAAUGGAGGAAACUCUGACGCAGUGACGCCGCGUAUAGGAAGAAGGUUUUCGGAUUGUAAACUAUUGUCGUUAGGGAAGAAAAAAGACAGUACCUAAGGAGGAAGCUCCGGCUAACUACGUGCCAGCAGCCGCGGUAAUACGUAGGGAGCAAGCGUUAUCCGGAUUUAUUGGGUGUAAAGGGUGCGUAGACGGGUAAUCAAGUUAGUUGUGAAAUCCCUUGGCUUAACUGAGGAACUGCAACUAAAACUGGUUAUCUUGAGUACAGGAGAGGUAAGUGGAAUUCCUAGUGUAGCGGUGAAAUGCGUAGAUAUUAGGAGGAACACCAGUGGCGAAGGCGACUUACUGGACUGAAACUGACGUUGAGGCACGAAAGUGUGGGGAGCAAACAGGAUUAGAUACCCUGGUAGUCCACACUGUAAACGAUGGAUACUAGGUGUAGGGGAUAUUAAGUUCUCUGUGCCGUCGCAAACGCAGUAAGUAUCCCACCUGGGGAGUACGGCCGCAAGGUUGAAACUCAAAGGAAUUGACGGGGGCCCGCACAAGCAGUGGAGUAUGUGGUUUAAUUCGAAGCAACGCGAAGAACCUUACCAGGGCUUGACAUAUAGAGGAAUAUAUAAGAGAUUAUAUAGUUCUUCGGAACCUCUAUACAGGUGGUGCAUGGUUGUCGUCAGCUCGUGUCGUGAGAUGUUGGGUUAAGUCCCGCAACGAGCGCAACCCCUGUUCUUAGUUGCCAGCACGUUAAGGUGGGAACUCUAAGAAGACUGCCGGUGAUAAAUCGGAGGAAGGUGGGGACGACGUCAAAUCAUCAUGCCCUUUAUGUCCUGGGCUACACACGUACUACAAUGGCUGUAACAGAGGGAAGCGAACCCGCGAGGAGGAGCAAAACCCAAAAAAGCAGUCUCAGUUCGGAUUGAAGGCUGAAAUUCGCCUUCAUGAAGCCGGAAUUGCUAGUAAUGGCAGGUCAGCAUACUGCCGUGAAUACGUUCCCGGGCCUUGUACACACCGCCCGUCACACCAUGAGAGUUGGGAAUACCCGAAGCCUGUGAGCUAACUAUAUAGAGGCAGCAGUCGAAGGUAGAAUCAAUGAUUGGGGUGA
Molecule: ribosomal RNA, 1471 nt
Filed under: uncultured bacterium
Lineage: Bacteria
Description: bacterial SSU rRNA
Rfam family: Bacterial small subunit ribosomal RNA
Source: RNAcentral